Molecule: unclassified non-coding RNA, 200 nt
Filed under: soil metagenome
Description: partial contains internal transcribed spacer 2 and large subunit ribosomal RNA
Source: RNAcentral
UCGAGCGUCAUUACAACCCUCACGCCACCGCGUGGUAUUGGGCUCGCCCCACCGGCCUGCCUCAAAGUCAGUGGCAAGCUUCACACAGCCCCAAAGCGUAGUAACAAUUCGCCGCUUUCUGGUGCUGCGUGACAGCCUGUCAGCAACCCCCACACUCAAAGGUUGACCUCGAAUCAGGUAGGGAUACCCGCUGAACUUAA